Symphalangus syndactylus (siamang) is the source of this 106-nucleotide small nuclear RNA. NCBI's taxonomy places the organism in Eukaryota, Metazoa, Chordata, Mammalia, Primates, Hylobatidae. The record is from RefSeq and is a predicted model, not a curated record.
GUGCUCACUUUGGCAGCACAUAUGCUAAAAUUGGAAUAAGAGAAGAUGAUUAGCAUGGCCCCUGCUGAAGGAUGACACACAAGUUCAUGAAGCAUUACAUAUUUUU